AUGCCAGCCUCCAAAAAAAAUCCACCACACAGUUUAUGUUGGCGUACUUGCCAGUGGCCGGCACACAUGCCAGCACACAAAAGGGGCGGGAAUUCGACCACGCCAUCUCAGCCGUGGUCAUGCCAGCACACUUGCCGGCAUAAAAAAAGGAUGGCGUUUUCCGCCAUAGAUCAUGAAUUUGAGCAUGACGGCCUGCAUCUUCUCAAACUAUGGCCUCCCUUCCGUCCGCCGCGUACCUCCUGUCCUUCCGUUUUGUUGGUUUUGUUGGCUGCACGACCCUCUCCUCGGGCGUCAGCUUCUUCUUUUUGGGCGGCGCCGCGGUCUUGCAGGGCGCGCGGUGAUUUCCUUUCGCGGAGGCGACAGAGGCGAGGUCGGACGAGGCGAGGCCGGCAGCGGCAUCGAGGGUCGAGGCAUCGUCGAUCAUGGCUGGGAGCGCGAGCGGGCGGGAGAGUUUUGAGAAAGUGGAGGAAAAUGGUGGUUGCUGUGCCAUCGACUGGCGGGCCAAGGCGCGUCGCGCGCGUCCGUUUCGUGUCCGCGUCGAUGCAAAUAUGA
This 552-nucleotide ribosomal RNA is filed under the name Triticum aestivum (bread wheat). Its description in RNAcentral is "partial small subunit ribosomal RNA". Lineage: Eukaryota; Viridiplantae; Streptophyta; Magnoliopsida; Poales; Poaceae. The record is from RNAcentral.